CUGAACUUCAGAAUUUGGGGAUCUGGGAGUGGUCACAUGGUAUGGGCAUGGCGUGUUACAAUCCACAGUGUAGUCAGAUGUAGCAGACUGUGCCCAAGUGUGGGCACAUUUUUUAAAGAUGUGGAAUCAAGGUGUUUUCUCCCUAGACUGUAGGAGGAAAAUCCGUGUGUGUUGUGUCAGUUCAAGACAAGAUUUACCACCAGAUGAGUGGAGCUCAUGUAAAGUGUUCUCGGCUGAGUGAGGAAGAAAGAAGGAAUGAACUGUGGAAAACACGCCAGAAGCUAUGGACUCUGUACAGACUGCAAGUGAGUCAACUAAAAGCAAUGAGAAUUCCCACUGAGUUCACUGGUGAGCCAUGGCACUUCCGGGUCUGUGUCAUUACAGCUGAGAAGACUAGAAAAUGGAGUGUUUUGAUCAACAAGAUCACUUUCGGAAGACAGAAUGGCCCACAAGUCUGUCUACAAGUCUAACAAGAACAGAGAUAUAGCAACCAAAUCCAAAGCCCUGGUACAUGUUCCAGUACUGAAAAACAGAGGCUGGCCUGGAACUCAUGGUCCUGGAACACGUGCUGAUUACAUCAGUAUCCCCUGUGUUAGCCUUAUGGUCAUGUUUCUCCUCGUCUGGCAAGAAAUGGACCUUAAAGGAAGAACUGACUCCCAUAGUGUAAGAGGAAAGCUGUACUCUAGACAGCUGUGUGGCAAGUCGCUGGAACCUAUUUGUAGAGGAGCCAGCAAGAGGCACUGA
Molecule: long non-coding RNA, 744 nt
Filed under: Mus spicilegus (steppe mouse)
Lineage: Eukaryota; Metazoa; Chordata; Mammalia; Rodentia; Muridae
Description: lncRNA (ENSMSIG00000028097.1)
Source: RNAcentral